RNAcentral lists this small nuclear RNA (317 nucleotides) under Castor canadensis (American beaver). Its description in RNAcentral is "7SK RNA (ENSCCNG00000007153.1)". It matches the Rfam family "7SK RNA". Rfam says of the family: 7SK was discovered as an abundant small nuclear RNA in the mid-70s but a possible function has only recently been suggested. Two independent studies have found that 7SK RNA binds the CDK9/cyclin T complex (known as elongation factor P-TEFb). Lineage: Eukaryota; Metazoa; Chordata; Mammalia; Rodentia; Castoridae. The record is from Rfam by way of RNAcentral.
GGAUGUGAAGGCAAUCUGGCUGUGACAUCUGUCACCUCAUUAAUUGUCAGGGUUGAUUCAGGUGAUCUGGCUGGCUAGGCAGGUGUCCCCUUCUUCCCUCACUGCUCCAUGUGCGACCCUCCUGAAGCUAAGCACUUUGUUAAAGAGGACAACCAUCUCCGAUAGAGAAGGACCGUUCUUUGUUCAAGGGUAUGCGAGUAUUUGUGCUACCCUGCUAGACUCUCCAAACAAGCUCUCAAAAGGGCGUUUUGGGGUAGUGCUGGGUGGAGCCAGUUCAUCUGUUCUCUGUGAGACAAUCUGUGAGUAGGCCACUUGAU